AGAGUCUGUGAGACUUCCAACAGAGGCUGAUAUUUAAAUUGGUCAGCAGACGGGGAAGGGCAUUCCAGGAUGAGAGCAACAUGAGCAAGGGUUCAGGGGUACGUAAGUGCAUGGUGGAUUCAAGAAAAUGAAUAGCUGAGCAGGACUACAGUGGAAGUAUCAGUGAAGUGAGAGUGAUGCCCAGGAGACUGUAACAAGACGUGAAAAUUGGACUUCCCUGGUGGCUCAGUGGUUAAGAAUCUGCCUGCACAUGCAGGGGACACAGGUUCGAUGCCUGGUCCGGGAAGAUCCCACAUGCCACGGAGCAACUAAGCCUGUGCGCCACAACACUACUGAGCCUGCGCUCUAGAGCCCGUGAGCCACAACUACUGAAGCCUGCACGCCUAGAGCCUGUGCUCCACAACAAGAGAAGCCACCGCAAUGAGAAGCCCACGCACCGCAACGAAGAGUAGCCCCCACUCUCUGCAACUAGAGAAAGACCACACGCAGCAACGAAGACCCAAUGCAGCCAAAAAUAAAUAAAUUUAUUUUUUAAAAAAACGUGAAAAUUUUCCAUUUCUAUUUAAAAUAUCAUUCACUCUGGCUGUAUCCUCAUUCAGAAUAAGGAAAAUUAACUAAAUAUUUUGUUAGAAAUUCAGUUGCAUUUUAUCUGUUUGAAUACAUCCAUUAUAGCUAUAUUAUAUUUUU
Molecule: long non-coding RNA, 687 nt
Organism: Orcinus orca (killer whale)
Lineage: Eukaryota; Metazoa; Chordata; Mammalia; Artiodactyla; Delphinidae
Exons: 2
Source: RefSeq, a predicted model, not a curated record